This 377-nucleotide unclassified non-coding RNA is filed under the name uncultured Actinomycetes bacterium. RNAcentral describes it as "uncultured actinobacterium contains 16S-23S intergenic spacer region". The record is from RNAcentral. Lineage: Bacteria; Bacillati; Actinomycetota; Actinomycetes.
UCCGGUUUGGCACCGGCGGUCUCCCUAGAGUCCCCAGCAUGACCCACUGGCAACUAGGAACAGGGGUUGCGCUCGUUGCGCCACUUAAGGCAACACCUCACGGCACGAGCUGACGACAACCAUACAGCACCUGUACAAACUCCCGAAGAAACACCGGCUUUCACCGGCUUCACCCUGCAUGUCAAGCCCAGGUAAGGUUCUUCGCGUUGCGUCGAAUUAAGCCACAUGCUCCGCCGCUUGUGCGAACCCCCGUCAAUUCCUUUGAGUUUUAGCCUUGCGACCGUACUCCCCAGACGGGAUGCUUAAUGCGUUAGCUUCGGCACGGAACGGGUUGAUGCGCCCCACACCUAGCACCCAUCGUUUACGGCUGGGACUAC